CCAGGUGCGCCAGAUGUGCUUUUUGCGGUUAUGAUGGGGAGGGCGCCUGGGAGGGGGAUGGCUGUCCUGGGAUUGUUGGUCCUGUGUGGUGCUAAGGUGUGGCCUAAUGGCUAAGGUGGCAACGUAGCGGUAGAGAAGUAGUAAUUAUAACGACUGCACCGCAAACGCCGUCGGAACAGCAGUCGGGUUAGGUCUAUGAAGGAUCAUAGGAGAUGGAGGACUAGGCCCUCACGGGGCCCGGCGGCAAGCACUGGCGCAACCCCACCCAAACGCGUUGGGGCCUCGCAGCAUCCCAGCAACAUGCCAGGACUUUAUAGGAAAGUUAGGAUUUGCCGCGUUGCGGUGCGUCAGCACGGAGAAGUGGUGCUCAAAUCGUCCGAACCAUGACGAGAAGGAAUGUCC
This 402-nucleotide long non-coding RNA is filed under the name Volvox carteri. RNAcentral describes it as "long non-coding RNA (VCAR_LNC001272)". Lineage: Eukaryota; Viridiplantae; Chlorophyta; Chlorophyceae; Chlamydomonadales; Volvocaceae. The record is from RNAcentral.